AUGUGCCAUCGUGGUUGCGCCGCCACCCACGCCGCUUCACUGCGAACACCAACACGAGGCCAAGAGGACCGGAGAGAAGUGCCCCGCAGAGGGAGAAGCAGCACCGAAGCCGAACGGGAGGGAACCACCUCCACCACCGUCGUGCAGGAGGCCAGAACCUCCGACACCGUCGCAGUAGCCGUCCGGACGCGGCAGCAGGGCAUGCCAGGCCACCCCUGGCCCGGCCAGGCCCGAAACAGGCCCACUAAGCCCCGCCGCCACGCUGCAGCAAGCCGGCGAUGGUGCCGCCAGCACCCUGCCGCUCAUCGCCUCUCCCCCGCCUCCCGGAAGCCAUGA
Molecule: ribosomal RNA, 336 nt
Filed under: Triticum aestivum (bread wheat)
Lineage: Eukaryota; Viridiplantae; Streptophyta; Magnoliopsida; Poales; Poaceae
Description: partial small subunit ribosomal RNA
Source: RNAcentral